CACCUACUCCCUCCGUUCGGAAUUACUUGUCGUAGAAAUGGAUGUAUCUAGACGUAUUUUCUAGAUACAUCCAUUUCUACGACAAGUAAUUCCAAACGGAGGGAGUAAAUG
Molecule: non-coding RNA, 111 nt
Organism: Triticum aestivum (bread wheat)
Lineage: Eukaryota; Viridiplantae; Streptophyta; Magnoliopsida; Poales; Poaceae
Source: Rfam